GAGAGGGGAUGAUAUGCAGCAAAGGGCCGCGGGCCGGACUCGAACCCAUGGCCGCUGUGGUUAGGACUGAACCUAUGUCGUACCAGAAGAAAUCAGCGGGAGCUAACCCACUGGAGGACGGGAGGCAGUGGAUUUAACUUCUACCAGAGAAAACUUCCUGGAUGCUCUUGCUUCCUGGCUCUCCUGCCGAGCAGAGAAACGGUGGUCUCCGGUAAAGUGGCUCAGAACAACACGGACAGAUCAGAUCAUGCAACAGAUGCAAAGAUGAUGACAACUUCAAGAGCUAGGCUCCUGCCAAGUCCCAGGACCAAGCUUCCUCCACCUUCAUUUGUUUUCUGUCCUUCCGUCUGCCACCUGAAACUGGGUUUGCGCUGCGAGCCUAGUGUGAAAUGACAUAAUGCUCAGAGUCAGUGAGCAGCUUCGAUCUUUGUCACCUUGAACGCCAGCUGUGCCUUGGCGCCACGACGAUAACAUCACCAUGGAUAUUGAUGUAAAAGAAUGUAAGGUUGAGGCAAGAAAACAGUUGUCAUACUGCAGAAAAAACAUCAUACAUUUCAUUCAUUAUGUAGUUUAUAAGAUAAUACAGUUUCUCUUUUAUUUUCUUCCUUAAGUGAUGUAUUUUUUUAACUUUGAUUUAUCGCCUGUUUUAUUGUUUGUGUCUAUUCUAAUUUAUAGUAUUUGAUAUGUUUAUACAUUUUCCGUGUGUAUGUAGCGUGGAGUGAUUUCAUUGUGUUCUCCUGUAUUG
This is a long non-coding RNA of Seriola aureovittata, 745 nucleotides long. RefSeq lists it as uncharacterized. Lineage: Eukaryota; Metazoa; Chordata; Actinopteri; Carangiformes; Carangidae. The record is from RefSeq and is a predicted model, not a curated record. The transcript is spliced from 5 exons.